RNAcentral lists this ribosomal RNA (450 nucleotides) under uncultured bacterium. RNAcentral's name for it is "partial 16S ribosomal RNA". It matches the Rfam family "Bacterial small subunit ribosomal RNA", at positions 29 to 507 of the family's 1533-position model. The record is from RNAcentral.
AUGAACGCUGGCGGCGUGCCUCACCCAUGCAAGUCGCGCGGCAGCGAGGGGUGCUUGCACCCUGUCGGCGAGCGGCGGACGGCUGAGUAACGCGUGGGAACGUGCCCCAAAGUGAGGAAUAACUGCCCGAAAGGGUAGCUAAUACCGCAUAUUAUCUUCGGAUCAAAGGAUUUAUCCGCUUUGGGAGCGGCUCGCGUCGGAUUAGGUAGUUGGUGAGGUAAUGGCUCACCAAGCCGACGAUCCGUAGCUGGUCUGAGAGGAUGACCAGCCAGACUGGAACUGAGACACGGUCCAGACUCCUACGGGAGGCAGCAGUGAGGAAUCUUCCACAAUGGGCGAAAGCCUGAUGGAGCAACGCCGCGUGCAGGACGAAGGCCUUCGGGUUGUAAACUGCUUUUAUAAGUGAGGAAUAUGACGGUAACUGAUGAAUAAGGAUCGGCUAACUACGUG